RNAcentral lists this transfer RNA (359 nucleotides) under uncultured Microcystis sp. Its description in RNAcentral is "partial 16S-23S ribosomal RNA intergenic spacer". The stretch from base 134 to 207 matches the Rfam family "tRNA". Lineage: Bacteria; Bacillati; Cyanobacteriota; Cyanophyceae; Chroococcales; Microcystaceae. The record is from RNAcentral.
AAAGGGAGACCUAAUUCAGGUAUAAGACGAAAAAAAAGUAGUCCCUACCAAGAAUCAAUCCCAAAAGGUCGGAACGAGGUAUGAGGCUUUCAAACUAGGUUCUGGGUUCAUAAAAGACCUGAAUCAGGAACAAGGGCUAUUAGCUCAGGUGGUUAGAGCGCACCCCUGAUAAGGGUGAGGUCCCUGGUUCGAGUCCAGGAUGGCCCACCUGCACAGGUGGCAAAAACAAGAGAAGCGAGGAAUCAGCACCUUAUCUUACUGACAUAGUAAGAGAGAAUGCUGGCUCUGAGUACAGAGUCCAGAGGAACCUUGAAAACUGCAUAGAGCUAGGUGAAAAAGCCAAAAAAGAAGACCGCAAG